AAUACGUAGGGUGCGAGCGUUAAUCGGAAUUACUGGGCGUAAAGCGUGCGCAGGCGGCUUUGCAAGACAGAUGUGAAAUCCCCGGGCUUAACCUGGGAACUGCAUUUGUGACUGCAAGGCUAGAGUACGGUAGAGGGGGAUGGAAUUCCGCGUGUAGCAGUGAAAUGCGUAGAUAUGCGGAGGAACACCGAUGGCGAAGGCAAUCCCCUGGACCUGUACUGACGCUCAUGCACGAAAGCGUGGGGAGCAAACAGGA
RNAcentral lists this ribosomal RNA (256 nucleotides) under uncultured prokaryote. RNAcentral describes it as "partial 16S ribosomal RNA". It matches the Rfam family "Bacterial small subunit ribosomal RNA", at positions 522 to 777 of the family's 1533-position model. The record is from RNAcentral.